RNAcentral lists this long non-coding RNA (541 nucleotides) under Salmo salar (Atlantic salmon). Its description in RNAcentral is "lncRNA (ENSSSAG00000119828.1)". Lineage: Eukaryota; Metazoa; Chordata; Actinopteri; Salmoniformes; Salmonidae. The record is from RNAcentral.
GCGCGUCCACGAGAGGUCUCCAUGUUUUUGAACGAAUACAACGUCGCCCGGUUGGAAUAUUAUCGCAAUUUUACGAGAAAAAUCGCAUAAAAAUUGAUUUUAAACAGCGUUUGACAUGCUUCUAAGUACGGUAAUGGAAUAUUUUGAAACAACAUUUGUUGUUGAAGUAGAAGCCCUGGGAGUGCAUUCUGACGAAGAACAACAAAGGAAUCUACAUCUGAAGGCCUGGUACAAGCAAAACAUCUCUCCAACUACAGACGCCAGUGUCUCAGAUUGGAAUGUCCACAGUGCAAGGUGUUCUACAUUGGACGGACAAAGAGACGCCUUCAAGACCGCUUAGCGGAACACAAGUACGCCAUACAGCCACCCUCAGUGUUCCUCUGGAGAAGCCUUGGAUGAAUGAGACUGAGGGCAAUCACCCUAGUACCACCACCUCACUGAAGAACGAAGAAGGCAAGACUGUACAGUACCAGGGUCUAAAAGAGAGAGGUGACAUGAAUGAGUAGCGCCGAUGGCAGGUGGGUCACGAGAGAAAUCAAAG